GCAUGGGUUUGGAUUUAUGGCAGGCCCGUCCCUGUAGGCCUCUCACUGUGUCCUGUGCCAGAGCAAACCGUGACUCCGAACCAUUGCCUGGCCUCUGUCCAUAGGCUCCUGGCACCGAAGCGGGUUCCACAGCA
RNAcentral lists this small nucleolar RNA (134 nucleotides) under Chinchilla lanigera (long-tailed chinchilla). RNAcentral's name for it is "Small nucleolar RNA SNORA42/SNORA80 family (ENSCLAG00000018995.1)". It matches the Rfam family "Small nucleolar RNA SNORA42/SNORA80 family". Rfam says of the family: The members of this family belong to the H/ACA class of snoRNAs that guide the sites of modification of uridines to pseudouridines. The record is from Rfam by way of RNAcentral. Lineage: Eukaryota; Metazoa; Chordata; Mammalia; Rodentia; Chinchillidae.